UNUUCAACAGUGAUGUCAGCUACCUUCCC
Molecule: non-coding RNA, 29 nt
Filed under: Mus musculus (house mouse)
Lineage: Eukaryota; Metazoa; Chordata; Mammalia; Rodentia; Muridae
Source: RNAcentral